GACGAACGCUGGCGGCGUGCUUAACACAUGCAAGGCGAACGGAAAGGCCCUGCUUUUGUGGGGUGCUCGAGUGGCGAACGGGUGAGUAACACGUGAGUAACCUGCCCUUGACUUUGGGAUAACUUCAGGAAACUGGGGCUAAUACCGGAUAGGAGCUCCUGCUGCAUGGGGGGGGUUGGAAAGUUUCGGCGGUUGGGGAUGGACUCGCGGCUUAUCAGCUUGUUGGUGGGGUAGUGGCUUACCAAGGCUUUGACGGGUAGCCGGCCUGAGAGGGUGACCGGCCACAUUGGGACUGAGAUACGGCCCAGACUCCUACGGGAGGCAGCAGUGGGGAAUAUUGCACAAUGGGCGGAAGCCUGAUGCAGCAACGCCGCGUGCGGGAUGACGGCCUUCGGGUUGUAAACCGCUUUCGCCUGUGACGAAGCGUGAGUGACGGUAAUGGGUAAAGAAGCACCGGCUAACUACGUG
This 468-nucleotide ribosomal RNA is filed under the name uncultured bacterium. RNAcentral's name for it is "partial 16S ribosomal RNA". It matches the Rfam family "Bacterial small subunit ribosomal RNA", at positions 28 to 507 of the family's 1533-position model. The record is from RNAcentral.